UGGGGAAUAUUGGACAAUGGGCGCAAGCCUGAUCCAGCAAUGCCGCGUGUGUGAAGAAGGCCUUAGGGUUGUAAAGCACUUUCAAUUGGGAAGAAAAGCGCAAGGUUAAUACCCUUGUGUCUUGACGGUACCUUUAGAAGAAGCACCGGCUAACUCCGUGCCAGCAGCCGCGGUAAUACGGAGGGUGCAAGCGUUAAUCGGAAUCACUGGGCGUAAAGCGCACGCAGGCGGUUUGCUAAGUCAGAUGUGAAAGCCCCGGGCUCAACCUGGGAACUGCAUUUGAUACUGGCAAGCUAGAGUAUGGUAGAGAGAAGUGGAAUUCCACAUGUAGCGGUGAAAUGCGUAGAGAUGUGGAGGAACAUCAGUGGCGAAGGCGACUUCUUGGACCAAUACUGACGCUCAGGUGCGAAAGCGUGGGGAGCAAACAGGAUUAGAUACCCCCGUAGUCC
RNAcentral lists this ribosomal RNA (449 nucleotides) under uncultured prokaryote. RNAcentral describes it as "bacterial SSU rRNA". It matches the Rfam family "Bacterial small subunit ribosomal RNA", at positions 355 to 796 of the family's 1533-position model. The record is from RNAcentral.